GAUGAACGCUGGCGGCGUGCCUAAUACAUGCAAGUCGAGCGAACGGACGAGAAGCUUGCUUCUCUGAUGUUAGCGGCGGACGGGUGAGUAACACGUGGAUAACCUACCUAUAAGACUGGGAUAACUUCGGGAAACCGGAGCUAAUACCGGAUAAUAUUUUGAACCGCAUGGUUCAAAAGUGAAAGACGGUCUUGCUGUCCCUUAUAGAUGGAUCCGCGCUGCAUUAGCUAGUUGGUAAGGUAACGGCUUACCAAGGCAACGAUGCAUAGCCGACCUGAGAGGGUGAUCAGCCACACUGGAACUGAGACACGGUCCAGACUCCUACGGGAGGCAGCAGUAGGGAAUCUUCCUCAAUGGGCGAAAGCCUGACGGAGCAACGCCGCGUGAGUGAUGAAGGUCUUCGGAUCGUAAAACUCUGUUAUUAGGGAAGAACAUAUGUGUAAGUAACUGUGCACAUCUUGACGGUACCUAAUCAGAAAGCCACGGCUAACUACGUG
RNAcentral lists this ribosomal RNA (497 nucleotides) under uncultured bacterium. RNAcentral's name for it is "partial 16S ribosomal RNA". It matches the Rfam family "Bacterial small subunit ribosomal RNA", at positions 28 to 507 of the family's 1533-position model. The record is from RNAcentral.